Molecule: ribosomal RNA, 566 nt
Filed under: uncultured archaeon
Lineage: Archaea
Description: bacterial SSU rRNA
Rfam family: Archaeal small subunit ribosomal RNA
Source: RNAcentral
CGUACGGGCCCUGAGAGGGGGAGCCCGGAGAGGGACACUGAGAUACUGGUCCCAGCCCUACGGGGUGCAGCAGGCGCGAAACCUUUACAAUGCGCAAUUGCGUGAUAAGGUGACCCCCAGUGCUCGUGUAAUGCACGGGCUUUUGCCAAGGGUAGGGACCUUGGCGAAUAAGGAGUGGGUAAGACCGGUGCCAGCCGCCGCGGUAAUACCGGCGCUCCGAGUGGCGACCGCGUUUACUGGGCCUAAAGCGUCCGUAGCCGGUUAAGUAAAUCUCUUGUGAAAUUGUCGCGCUUAACGCGACAGCGUGCAGGGGAGACUGCUUAACUAGGGACCGGAAGGCGCAGGAGGUAUUCCGGAGGGAGCGGUAAAAUGCUAUAAUCCCCGGAGGACCACCGGUGGCGAAGGCGUCCUGCGAGGACGGGUCCGACGGUGAGGGACGAAGGCUGGGGGAGCGAACCGGAUUAGAUACCCGGGUAGUCCCAGCAGUAAACUCUGUGGGCCAGGCGUUGCACAUCCGAGGAGGAUGUGCAGUGUCGUAGCGAAAGGCGUUGAGCCCACCGCCUGGG